RNAcentral lists this unclassified non-coding RNA (367 nucleotides) under fungal sp. RNAcentral describes it as "partial internal transcribed spacer region". The stretch from base 1 to 46 matches the Rfam family "Eukaryotic small subunit ribosomal RNA", at positions 1786 to 1831 of the family's 1831-position model. Lineage: Eukaryota; Fungi. The record is from RNAcentral.
AAGUCGUAACAAGGUUUCCGUAGGUGAACCUGCGGAAGGAUCAUUAACACGUCUAACAACGUUUUAUGAUAACCCCUCUGUGAACUUGUAAAACCAAAUCCUGGUGGGCUCGCAAGAGCUUGCUGGGUACCUUUUAACCCAAAAUCCUGGUGACUUGGGCGUUCACGCGCUCGGGUUGUCAGGUCGCAGCCCUGCGUGGCCGCUCUCUCUUUUUGGAGGGAGAGCGUGCUGCAACGGACGGCGUUAACCCAAACCAAACCCUUGAACCUAACUGCUCUGAAAACCCUAACUUUGGCAGUGCGCUCACGCGUGUUGCCGAGUUAACAAAAACAAAAAACAACUCUUAACAACGGAUAUCUUGGUUCUC